RNAcentral lists this ribosomal RNA (1148 nucleotides) under uncultured organism. Its description in RNAcentral is "bacterial SSU rRNA". It matches the Rfam family "Bacterial small subunit ribosomal RNA", at positions 102 to 1247 of the family's 1533-position model. The record is from RNAcentral.
ACGGGUGAGUAACACGUUUGCAACCUUCCUCUAACUGGAGAAUAGCCCGAAGAAAUUCGGAUUAAUACUCCAUAAAGUCAAUUUAAGGCAUCUUUUAUUGAUUAAAGCUCCGGCGGUUAGAGAUGGGCAUGCGUGUCAUUAGCUAGUUGGUGAGGUAACGGCUCACCAAGGCCACGAUGACUAGGGGGUCUGAGAGGAUGAUCCCCCACACUGGUACUGAGACACGGACCAGACUCCUACGGGAGGCAGCAGUGAGGAAUAUUGGGCAAUGGACGCAAGUCUGACCCAGCCAUGCCGCGUGCAGGAUGACUGCCCUAUGGGUUGUAAACUGCUUUUGUUUGGGAAGAAACCCCCGAUCGUGAUCGGGGGUGACGGUACCAUACGAAUAAGCAUCGGCUAACUCCGUGCCAGCAGCCGCGGUAAUACGGAGGAUACAAGCGUUAUCCGGAUUCAUUGGGUUUAAAGGGUGCGCAGGCGGAAUAUUAAGUCAGUGGUGAAAUCCUGCAGCUUAACUGUAGAACUGCCAUUGAUACUGAUAUUCUUGAAUAUAGUUGAGGUGGGCGGAAUGUGUAAUGUAGCGGUGAAAUGCUUAGAUAUUACACAGAACACCAAUUGCGAAGGCAGCUCACUAAACUAAUAUUGACGCUGAGGCACGAAAGCGUGGGUAGCAAACAGGAUUAGAUACCCUGGUAGUCCACGCUGUAAACUAUGAUCACUCGCUGUUGGCAAUACAUCGUCAGCGGCUGAGCGAAAGCAUUAAGUGAUCCACCUGGGGAGUACGGUCGCAAGAUUGAAACUCAAAGGAAUUGACGGGGGCCCGCACAAGCGGGUGGAGCAUGUGGUUUAAUUCGAAGCAACGCGCAGAACCUUACCAACCCUUGACAUCCUGAUCGCGGUUUCUCGAGAGAGAUUCCUUCAGUUCGGCUGGAUCAGUGACAGGUGCUGCAUGGCUGUCGUCAGCUCGUGUCGUGAGAUGUUCGGUUAAGUCCGGCAACGAGCGCAACCCACACGCCUAGUUACCAGCGGUUCGGCCGGGGACUCUAGGGGAACUGCCCGUGAUAAGCGGGAGGAAGGUGUGGAUGACGUCAAGUCCUCAUGGCCCUUACGGGUUGGGCUACACACGUGCUACAAUGGCAGUGACAAUGGGU